RNAcentral lists this ribosomal RNA (1212 nucleotides) under Clostridioides difficile. RNAcentral describes it as "partial 23S ribosomal RNA". It matches the Rfam family "Bacterial large subunit ribosomal RNA", at positions 1 to 1217 of the family's 2925-position model. The record is from RNAcentral. Lineage: Bacteria; Bacillati; Bacillota; Clostridia; Peptostreptococcales; Peptostreptococcaceae.
UGGUCAAGUUAUUAAGGGUGCAGGGCGGAUGCCUUGGCACUAGGAGCCGAUGAAGGACGUGAUAAGCUGCGAUAAGCUUCGGGGAGUUGCACGUAAACUUUGAUCCGAAGAUUUCCGAAUGAGGAAACUCACUUAGAGUAAUGUCUAAGUAUCAUUAAGUGAAUACAUAGCUUAAUGAGGGGAACUCAGGGAACUGAAACAUCUAAGUACCUGAAGGAAGAGAAAGAAAUUCGAUUCCGUAAGUAGCGGCGAGCGAACGCGGAUUAGCCCAAACCAAUAAAGUUUUCUUUAUUGGGGUUGCGGACAUAUCAUAACGAAGAGGUAUCGUAAUUGAAGAGGUUUGGAAAGACCCACCACAGAAGGUAAUAGUCCUGUAUGUUAAACGAGAAGACUUCAGAUAUGAUCCAGAGUACCACGGGACACGUGAAACCCUGUGGGAAGCAGGAGGGACCACCCUCCAAGGCUAAAUACUACCUAGUGACCGAUAGCGUAUAGUACCGUGAGGGAAAGGUGAAAAGAACCCCGGGAGGGGAGUGAAAUAGAACCUGAAACCCUGCACUUACAAGCUGUGGAAGCACAUUUCUUGUGUGACCGCGUACUUUUUGUAGAACGGGCCAACGAGUUACGUUAAGUAGCAAGGUUAAGCACUUAAGGUGUGGAGCCGUAGCGAAAGCGAGUUUUAACUGAGCGUUCAGUUACUUGACGUAGACCCGAAACCGGGCGACCUACCCAUGAGCAGGAUGAAGCGAAAGUAAAAUUUCGUGGAGGUCCGAACCCACGAGCGUUGAAAAGCUCGGGGAUGACUUGUGGGUAGCGGUGAAAUUCCAAUCGAGCCCGGAGAUAGCUGGUUCUCCCCGAAAUAGCUUUAGGGCUAGCCUCAAGGUGAGAGAUACGGAGGUAGAGCACUGAAUGUCCUAGGGGGUAUUGCACCUACCGAAGACUAUCAAACUCCGAAUGCCGUCAUCUUAUACUUGGGAGUCAGACUGUGGGUGAUAAGAUUCAUAGUCGAAAGGGCAACAGCCCAGAUCGUCAGCUAAGGUCCCUAAAUGUAAGUUAAGUGGUAAAGGAUGUGGGAUUGCACAGACAACCAGGAUGUUGGCUUAGAAGCAGCCACUCAUUCAAAGAGUGCGUAAUAGCUCACUGGUCGAGUGAUCCUGCGCCGAAGAUUUCCGGGGCUAAAACUUACUACCGAAGCUACGGCAUCAGUAAUGA